Molecule: small RNA, 376 nt
Filed under: Arabidopsis thaliana (thale cress)
Lineage: Eukaryota; Viridiplantae; Streptophyta; Magnoliopsida; Brassicales; Brassicaceae
Description: ATSL180830
Source: RNAcentral
GUUCAUGAUUUAUUAUUUAUAUAAAAUUUAGCUAUGCACCAAUAUGUAGCUUUGUAAUCUAUAUACAUAUUCCUGCCUACCAAAAAAAAAUCUAUAUACAUAUUCCUUUUUUAUAUAUAUUUCUUCUCAAAAUAACUGGCAUUAUCACCAAUACAGAUUUUUCCAAAGUUGUGUGAGAUCUGUAAAUUUGGUCACUCUUUUUGUUGAUAUGUAUAUUGAAUUUGAUCAUUCGUGUCUUGCAGUUAAACAAGGUCAUGGCGGAAGUCUAAAAUAAAGAGUUUUCCGUCUUUGUUUUCUUAAAUAAAAGAAAAAAUUAGUUACAAAAAUAGAGAAUUCUGUUUUGCCAAAUUUUAGGAAACAAUUUUUCUGAAAACUU